ACGGAGGGUGCAAGCGUUGAUCGGAAUCACUGGGCUUACAGCGCAUGUAGGCGGUCCGGCAAGUCUUCUGUGAAAUCCCCCGGCUCAACCGGGGAAUUGCAGGGGAAACCGCCGCUCUUGAGGCAGGUAGAGGUGACCGGAACGUGUGGUGGAGCGGUGAAAUGCGUAGAUAUCCGGAGGAACACCAGAGGCGAAGGCGACACCCUGGGCCGUACCUGACGCUAAGACGCGACAGCACGGGGAGCGAACGG
RNAcentral lists this ribosomal RNA (251 nucleotides) under uncultured prokaryote. RNAcentral's name for it is "partial 16S ribosomal RNA". It matches the Rfam family "Bacterial small subunit ribosomal RNA", at positions 525 to 775 of the family's 1533-position model. The record is from RNAcentral.